This 322-nucleotide ribosomal RNA is filed under the name Trichophyton benhamiae. RNAcentral describes it as "eukaryotic LSU rRNA". It matches the Rfam family "Eukaryotic large subunit ribosomal RNA", at positions 331 to 670 of the family's 3401-position model. Lineage: Eukaryota; Fungi; Ascomycota; Eurotiomycetes; Onygenales; Arthrodermataceae. The record is from RNAcentral.
AGACCGAUAGCGAACAAGUAGAGUGAUCGAAAGGUUAAAAGCACCUUGAAAAGGGAGUUAAACAGCACGUGAAAUUGUUGAAAGGGAAGCGCUUGCGGCCAGACUCGGGGGCGGGGUUCAGCGGGUGCUCGUCGCCCGUGUACUCCUCGUCUCCCGGGCCAGCAUCAGUUUCGACGGCCGGUCAAAGGCCCCCGGAAUGUGUCGUCUCUCGGGACGUCUUAUAGCCGGGGGUGCAAUGCGGCCCGUCGGGACUGAGGAACGCGCUCCGGCUCGGAUGCUGGCGUAAUGGCCGUAAGCGGCCCGUCUUGAAACACGGACCAAG